RNAcentral lists this unclassified non-coding RNA (377 nucleotides) under soil metagenome. RNAcentral's name for it is "partial contains 5.8S ribosomal RNA, internal transcribed spacer 2, and large subunit ribosomal RNA". The stretch from base 1 to 120 matches the Rfam family "5.8S ribosomal RNA", at positions 35 to 154 of the family's 154-position model. The record is from RNAcentral.
GAUGAAGAACGCAGCGAAAUGCGAUAAGUAAUGUGAAUUGCAGAAUUCAGUGAAUCAUCGAAUCUUUGAACGCAUCUUGCGCUCCUUGGUAUUCUGAGGAGCAUGCCUGUUUGAGUGUCAUUAAAUUCUCAACUACACUGACUUUGAAUUGGUGUGGCUUGGAUUUGGGGGGAAAAUUGUUGUGGGCUUUUUGUAUAGUCUGCUCCCCUGAAAUUGAUUAGCGGUACCUUUGUGGAACUGUCUACAGGUGUGAUAAUUAUCUACAUCUUAGACAUCUGCUGGAAUGCUGCUUUCUAAACCUUACUUGUAUUGACAAUCUUGACCUCAAAAUCAGGUAGGACUACCCGCUGAACUUAAGCAUAUCAAUAAGCGGAGGA